RNAcentral lists this ribosomal RNA (523 nucleotides) under uncultured bacterium. RNAcentral's name for it is "bacterial SSU rRNA". It matches the Rfam family "Bacterial small subunit ribosomal RNA", at positions 1 to 554 of the family's 1533-position model. The record is from RNAcentral.
GGCCGCGCGCAAGCUCUCUCCAUGGUUGAGUUUGAUUUUCCUCAGACGAACGCUGGCGGCAUGCCUAACACAUGCAAGUUGAACGAAGCCUUCGGGCUUAGUGGCGCACGGGCUGCGUAACGCGUGGGAAUCUGCCCUCUGGUACGGAAUAACUCAGGGAAACUUGAGCUAAUACCGUAUAAUGACUUCGGUCCAAAGAUUUAUCGCCUGAGGAUGAGCCCGCGUAGGAUUAGCUAGUUGGUGAGGUAAAAGCUCACCAAGGCGACGAUCCUUAGCUGGUCUGAGAGGAUGAUCAGCCACACUGGGACUUGAGACACGGCCCAGACUCCUACGGGAGGCAGCAGUGGGGAAUAUUGGACAAUGGGCGAAAGCCUGAUCCAGCAAUGCCGCGUGAGUGAUGAAGGCCUUAGGGUUGUAAAGCUUCUUUUCCCGGGAUGAUAUUGACAGUCCCGGGAGAAUAGCCCCGGCUUACUCGUGCCAGCAGCCGCGGUAAUCGGAGGGGGCUAGCGUUGUUCGGAAUUCU